Molecule: long non-coding RNA, 1579 nt
Organism: Mobula hypostoma (lesser devil ray)
Lineage: Eukaryota; Metazoa; Chordata; Chondrichthyes; Myliobatiformes; Myliobatidae
Exons: 4
Source: RefSeq, a predicted model, not a curated record
AUGGCUAGCGCAAGAGGGCAUAGUUUUAAGGUGCUUGGAUGUAGGUACAGAGGAGAUGUCAGGGGUAAGUUUUUUACAUAGAGAGUGGUGAGUGCGUGGAAUGGGCUGCCGGCAACGGUGGUGGAGGCGGAUAUGAUAGGGUCUUUUAAGAGACUGCUGGACGGGUACAAGGAGCUUAGAAAAAUAGAGGGCUAUGGGUGACCCUAGGUAAUUUCUAAGGUAAGGACAUGAUCAGCAUAGCUUUGUAGGCUGAAGGGCCUGUAUAGUGCUGUAGCUUUUCUAUGUUUCUAUGUUUCUAAAACUACACACAAAGACAGACAAACAACCAAUGUGCAAAAGAAGCCAAAGUGCGCGAAUACAAACAAGCAAGUAAUAGAUAAGUACUGAGAACAGGAGUUGUAGUGCCUUGGACAGUGAGUCCACAGGUUGUGGACUUAAUUCAGAGCUGAGGUGAGUGAAUGAUGAUUCAGGAGCCUGACGGUUGAAGGGUAAUAACUGGUCCUAAGCCUGGUGGUGUGGGCCUGUAUCUGCUUCCCAAUGGUAGCAGCGAGAAGUGAGCGUGGCCUGGAUGGUAGGGGUCCUUGUUGAUGGAUGCUGCUUUCCUGCGACAGUGCUCCUGAUAUCAUUUGUCAAGUCACUGCGAUAGCUGGUGUACAACAGCGUCUCAUAUUUAAAGAAUCCACCCACAAGCAUCUUUUACUCCUCGGAACUGGCGUGGAGACAGAUCAUCCUUAACCAGCAGGGACAGUCCGAGAAGAGUAUCUGAGUACACAGUGGAGAUUGGCUAAUGCUGGCACCUGCUAAAGGCUCUAUGUAUCCAAUAUGGGCGAAGACAGUAAAAAAAAUCUUCAAAACAAAGGCACAACAAAACAGCUCACCUUCCAUCACACCAUACAUUAAGAAAUCCCAAAAUAUCUGACAUACAAUGAAAUACUUGAAAGCUCCUGAUGGUGGAAUGCGAAGGAGGCAGACGCCCUUGGCUCUUUCACGGACUCUACAACUCACAUUCUCAUGCCGUCAUGGGAAAAGAUAUCCAGGUGGAAGAGAUUCGAGGAUAUUAUCAAAGUCUCCUGGAAGAUAAAGUGCAACAUCUUCACCCGUGUUAAAGUCUACAGAAAGUGGUGGAUAUAGCCGUGUUCAUCAGAGGCAAACCCUUCCCCAACGUUGAACACAGUCACAACAAGUGUUACCACGAGGAACCAGUAUUAAUCGUCGAGGCCUCCACAAUCCAGGCUGUGCAGUUUUCUCACUCUGGCUGGAGGUACAGAAGCUCUAGAUCACACACCAGCAGGUUCAGGAACAGUUAUUACCCUUCAACCAGCAGCCUCCUGAUCUGGCGUACUUAACUUCUCCCACCUCAACACUGACCUGGUUCCAUAACCUAUGGAUUCACCUUCAAGGACUUGACGACUCAUGUUUUCAGGAUUAUUUAUUUAUUUUUAUUUACACAGUUUGUCUCCUUUUGCACAUUGGUUGUCAGUCUCAGAUUAUGUAUGGUUUUCAUAAAUUCUCUUGGAUUUCUUUAUUUUCCUGUGAAUGCCUGCAAGAAAAUGAAUCUCAAGGUAGUGGACAGUGGCUU